UACAGAGGGUGCAAGCGUUAAUCGGAAUUACUGGGCGUAAAGCGUGCGUAGACGGUUAUUUAAGUCAGGUGUGAAAGCCCCGGGCUCAACCUGGGAAUGGCAAUGGAUACUGGCAGGCUAGAGUGCGGUAGAGGGUAGUGGAAUUCCCGGUGUAGCGGUGAAAUGCGUAGAGAUCGGGAGGAACACCAGUGGCGAAGGCGGCUACCUGGACCAGCACUGACACUGGAGGGCACGAAAGCGUGGGGAGCAAACAGG
RNAcentral lists this ribosomal RNA (255 nucleotides) under uncultured bacterium. RNAcentral describes it as "partial 16S ribosomal RNA". It matches the Rfam family "Bacterial small subunit ribosomal RNA", at positions 524 to 776 of the family's 1533-position model. The record is from RNAcentral.